GUAAUGCUUCUGGUAUGAUAUCGAUGGGACUCACAGCGUAGACUACACUCAGUACCAUUGCAAUGUAAACACGUGUUCUAAUGACAAGAGGAAGAGAUCUCUGUGGAUUAAGGAGUUCCCGAAGCAGCCUCCGUAGGAGAAAAGGAAGGUCCUGCAAUUGCUGACUAAAACCAGUUGAGUUGCCACCAAAAUGACGGUUAUAAGUCCUUAUAUUGUUAAGAACGCGUGCAACCUCUGGGUCACCUUGCUGAAUUGGUGAAACCUCAGAAGGAACUAAUAAAGAGAUUUGUCG
RNAcentral lists this unclassified non-coding RNA (292 nucleotides) under Hevea brasiliensis (rubber tree). The record is from RNAcentral. Lineage: Eukaryota; Viridiplantae; Streptophyta; Magnoliopsida; Malpighiales; Euphorbiaceae.